AGGUUACUCAGCGCGAGAGUCGCUUGACGCCAUUUCGUCAGUGUUACUCGCCCGCGCGGCAUCGACUCUACCCAGCUCGCUUCAACCCCUUAGGCUCCUGCACCCUUCUCUCAAGCCCGAGACCUAACCGUUACACGAAGAGCUACUUCCACUUCGUCCCCAGUUCGUCGAUCGAUAGAACUCGAUAACCCCCAUUCAAAAUGCCCCGUGCCCCUAAAACCGAAAUCUGACGCGUUUUCGCGAACCCCAUCAACAGUACACGUGUUCAUGUAUCGAGUUGCAAACGUGUAUAAUACGUUCUAUAAGCUUUUCGUACCCUUAUCUGGGUUUCCAUCCUUCAUUAUCGUCGUUAUAAUUUUAUCGGGAAUACUCCGUGAGUGUGAAGAACGGCGAGGCGAGCGCGCGUGUAGAGUCAGCGAUCCGGUUAGGCCUAAAUACACGGGCGUCGGGCGACCGCGCGAAAUUUUUGCAAAGAAAUCGGCUUUUUAAUUCCAUUAAAAAUCUUAUAGGCCUAUUUAAGGAAUGAACGUUUUGGACCCUCUGGACCCUGGACUUUGUGAUUGUAGUGACUUUUCGCCAUAAUUAUCGAUUAAUUUAUGAUUUUUAAUCGUUUUUGUGAAGUGCGAGUGGUGUACCGCGGAUCGCGGAAACUGAGUGCUAAGGAAACUUUUGCCUUUGGAUAUUUUUGUGUGAUGUACCUCAUUUAUGUAUUGAAACAGAAGCACUAAUAUGGUAAGUUUAUUUAUAGCAAUAACGGUAGGAGAGAGGUACGAGCAGAUAGUUUCUUUCUCUCUUUCCCUCAUAGCCAGUUACGUUUUGUAUAUCUAAGAAACCAUUUCUUAGAUAUAGUGGGAAUUUGGGUAUGAUGGGGCUGGCAUGUCUGUGUAGAC
This 890-nucleotide unclassified non-coding RNA is filed under the name Melitaea cinxia (Glanville fritillary). RNAcentral describes it as "misc RNA ENSMCXG00005004458.1". The record is from RNAcentral. Lineage: Eukaryota; Metazoa; Arthropoda; Insecta; Lepidoptera; Nymphalidae.